GCGGGAAAUACAAAUAUAAGAUUUUUGGUAGGAACGAAAAAAUAAAAUAAAAUAAAAUCUUGCUGGUAAAUACAAAUAAAAGAUUUUCAGGCGGAACGAAUUGAUAGGGUCGGUCGGUAAAGGGCAAACAAACAAUAUUUUAAUUUAAGCCUCAAUGCAGACAAGAUCAUUAACUGAUGCUCAUUAGCUAUAGUAGAUACAUUUGUCUUUUAAAAUACAACUGACAUAUAAGGAUCAUAAUGGUGCUAUGUGGAUAAAUUUAUCGGUUUUCAGGAGCAAAAUUGGCAGCGCGUCAUCCCUACAAUUGCUUCCAUUUCUACGAUUGUGAAAAUGAACUGCCUGGCGUAAUGGGGAGAUAAUUUUGACGAAGUAGAAUCCUGACUGUAUGAAUAACAUUUCUGUAUAUAUACAAAUUGACAACGUUCCCCCUUGUGAUACGCCAUUCGUACAAGACUAUUUUAAGGAUCUACUUUGCUGGAGCUCACCAUCACUAGUUUAGUCGUAUGAUAUUUUCAAAAUAUUUUCUGUUAUUUUAUUUGCACGACAAAAUGGAAGACGAUAUA
RNAcentral lists this long non-coding RNA (563 nucleotides) under Mytilus galloprovincialis (Mediterranean mussel). Lineage: Eukaryota; Metazoa; Mollusca; Bivalvia; Mytilida; Mytilidae. The record is from RNAcentral.